This 230-nucleotide long non-coding RNA is filed under the name Helianthus annuus (common sunflower). Its description in RNAcentral is "hypothetical non coding rna". Lineage: Eukaryota; Viridiplantae; Streptophyta; Magnoliopsida; Asterales; Asteraceae. The record is from RNAcentral.
GUACAAGAAGAACAGGGGGGCGAUCCCCACACAUCAAAACCCUAAAUCUUCACCAAACUUGCAAAUUGAAGGCUCAAUCCAAGUCAAAAUCGAAAAUCAAGCAUAGAUUAUUGAUCCCCAUGGCAAGAGGGUUUUUGACUCUUGACAAGCUAGAUGGAGGCUUGGGAAUGAAGCGGGUCAAACGGAGCAAGUACGAAAAGGAAAGCGUAAUUUGGAUGCGAGGUAAGUAA